Molecule: ribosomal RNA, 223 nt
Filed under: uncultured gamma proteobacterium DCM-FREE-34
Lineage: Bacteria; Pseudomonadati; Pseudomonadota; Gammaproteobacteria
Description: partial 16S ribosomal RNA
Rfam family: Bacterial small subunit ribosomal RNA
Source: RNAcentral
AGAGUUUGAUCAUGGCUCAUAUUGAACGCUGGCGGUAGGCCUAACACAUGCAAUUCGAACGGUAACGGACCGCUGGGAUCCCUUCGGGGUGACCUUGGUGCCGACGAGUGGCGGACGGGUGAGUAACACGUAGGAAUCUGCCCUACAGAGGGGGACAACCCGGAGAAAUCCGGGCUAAUACCGCAUACGCCCUACGGGGGAAAGCGGGGGAUCUUCCCCACCU